CAAGCGCGAUAAGGGCGUUUGGUGGAUGCCUUGGCAGUAAGAGGCGAUGAAGGACGUGAUACUCUGCGAUAAGCUUGGGGGAGGUGAGAAUAACCUUUGAUCCCAAGAUCUCCGAAUGGGGCAACCCACUUGAUAUUCUGUUGUUGUUGCCUUGCAACAACGCACACUCCGUGCGGACCGUUGGUCCGUGACCAUCUUCGAUGGUCGGGGCAUGGCGUUGGGGCAGGACAGUCAUCAACGGGGUAAAUCAAGUACUUUUAGGCUGAAUACAUAGGCUUAAAAGAGCAAACCCGGGGAACUGAAACAUCUAAGUACCCGGAGGAAAGGAAAUCAAUAGAGACUCCGUUAGUAGUGGCGAGCGAACGCGGACCAGCCGAGCCUUGAGUGUGACUGGAACUGUCUGGAAAGACAGGCCAUAGUGGGUGACAGCCCCGUACAGGAAGCACGAUAGGACGUAUCAAGUAGGGCGGGACACGUGAAAUCCUGUCUGAAGAUCGGGGGACCACCCCCGAAGGCUAAGUACUCCUUACUGACCGAUAGCGAACCAGUACCGUGAGGGAAAGGUGAAAAGCACCCCGACGAGGGGAGUGAAACAGACCUGAAACCGGACGCCUACAAGCAGUCGGAGGGACCAUGAGUCCUGACGGCGUACCUUUUGUAUAAUGGGUCAACGACUUGGUCUAUCUAGCAAGCUUAAGCCGUUAGGUGUAGGCGCAGCGAAAGCGAGUCUUAAAUGGGCGCAUGAGUUAGAUGGAUCAGACCCGAAACCGAGUGAUCUAGGCAUGGUCAGGCUGAAGGUUGGGUAACACCAACUGGAGGGCCGAACCCACAUCCGUUGAAAAGGAUCGGGAUGAACUGUGCCUAGGGGUGAAAGGCCAAUCAAACUCGGAGAUAGCUGGUUCUCCGCGAAAUCUAUUUAGGUAGAGCGUCGCACGAAUACCCCGGGGGGUAGAGCACUGGAUGGGUAAUGGGGCCCCACAGGCUUACUGAUCCUAACCAAACUCCGAAUACCCGGGAGUA
RNAcentral lists this ribosomal RNA (1020 nucleotides) under Roseinatronobacter bogoriensis subsp. barguzinensis. RNAcentral describes it as "Rhodobaca barguzinensis partial 23S ribosomal RNA". It matches the Rfam family "Bacterial large subunit ribosomal RNA", at positions 1 to 971 of the family's 2925-position model. The record is from RNAcentral. Lineage: Bacteria; Pseudomonadati; Pseudomonadota; Alphaproteobacteria; Rhodobacterales; Paracoccaceae.